RNAcentral lists this ribosomal RNA (2355 nucleotides) under Triticum aestivum (bread wheat). Its description in RNAcentral is "partial small subunit ribosomal RNA". Lineage: Eukaryota; Viridiplantae; Streptophyta; Magnoliopsida; Poales; Poaceae. The record is from RNAcentral.
GACGAGAAGAAAGAAAGGAGUCGUCCCGUGCCCGUCGAACCUUAUCCAGCCGACCCUAAAAAAAAAAAGCCGCCGCUCGCCGCCCGGCCGCCGUGCCGCGUGUCUGUCCGGUGUCUCGUUCGCCCUGCGCCCCUGCCCAUCCGGCGAGCCCCGUGCAGCAGCGAGCAGUCCUCCUCUCCCAUCUCCUUCCUGGCUGCUCCCCUUGCUGAUCUGCAGGCUGCUGCCCCGUCCGGCUGACCGACGAGGCGGCGCGCCGGUGACCGCGUUCGUCCAGCCUGACCUCGACCCCGACGUCUGGCGUUCCGCCUCAGCCAAAGUCAGUUGGAGGGCGAGGCCGCGAGGGCGCUGUGGCUUAUAUCGGUUCACGUGCGCUUUACGGCAGAAGGGCUGCAUAUUUAUUGGCUGGAUUUUGCUUGUCUCCGAACUCCAAAUUCCAAUGCUGUCCGCGUCUAAACCCCUUCUCUCCCCGAGCUCCCUUAUUGCCAUGCCGAUUCGACCGCCGCCGCAUGCACCAACUCACUACGCCCCGCCUCACAGGCGGACAUUGCCAUUACGCUCCAUUGCGCGAGCGGCUCCUUCUUCUUCCACCGCCGCAACGGCCGUCUCGUUGCCGCCAUCUCCCAAGAAGGUUCUUGUGCCCAUUGCCAUGGGCACGGAGGAAAUGGAGGCAGUCAUCCUGGCCGGCGUCCUCAGGCGAGCAGGCGCUGACGUAACACUGGCCUCUGUGGAGGACGGCCUCGAGAUCGAGGCUUCCUAUGGGACGCGCAUCAUCGCAGACAAGCCCAUUGCAGCAUGUGCAGACCAGGGAGGAAUGCCUGGUUCAGUACGGCUGAGAGACAACGAGAUCCUUCAGAGAAUUAUGGUUAGACAAGCUGAAGAGAAAAGAUUGUAUGGUGCUAUAUGUGCUGCACCAGCGGUUGUUCUCAUGCCCUGGGGUCUUCACAAGGGAAGAAAGAUCACCUGUCACCCAUCCUUCAUAGGAGAUCUUCCAACAUUCCGAGCUGUUGAGUCAAAUGUUCAGGUUUCAGGAGAGCUCACUACUAGUCGUGGUCCUGGGACAGCAUUUCAGUUUGCUUUAUCAUUUGUCGAGCAAUUGUUUGGGCCUCACGCUGUUGAAGAUGUGGACAGUACUUUGAUUGAUGCUGCUCUUGAAAGAAGUACAGAAGUCAACAGAGUUGAAUGGCCUUUUGAUCACAAACCUCAGGUUCUCAUUCCAAUUGCAAAUGGGUCUGAGGAGAUGGAGAUCAUAAUGUUGGUGGAUAUUCUAAGACGGGCAAAUAUAAAUGUGGUGUUGGCAUCAGUUGACGAGUCCACAAAUGUUGUUGGGUCUCAAAGAAUGAAGAUUGUUGCGGAUAAAUGCAUAUUGGGUGCUUCUGAUUCAAAACAUGAUCUAAUCAUUAUUCCUGGGGGACCUGCCGGAGCUGAGCGUCUUCACAGGUCUACAACUCUUAAGAAGCUACUCAAGGAACAGAAGCAAGCAGGCAGGAUGUACGGUGGGAUCAGUUAUUCUCCAUUGAUAUUGCAGAAGCAAGGUUUACUCGAGGAUAAAACAGUAACUGCUCAUCCUUCCAUAGUCGAUCAGCUCACGUGCCAGGUUAUUGACGGAUCAAAGGUUGUGAUUGACGGAAAUUUGAUUACUGGGAAAGGACUCGGAACAGUCAUGGAUUUUUCCCUGGCUAUUGUAAGAAAAUUCUUUGGCCAUGGGCGAGCGAAAGGUGUGGCAAAUGGAAUGGUUUUUGACUACCCCAAGAGCAGAAACGCCUAGCAUUCCUGGCACAAUGGAGUGAUGUGCUGAAUGUUUGGUUAUGGUCUAUGGAUCUUGCGGUAGCUAUGCUCAAACUUUUAAGUGACCGUCUCUCUUGUGGAGAUGGCAAAAUUUUCUUCUGUUGCCGCCUUAGUGGAUAGCUGCAGACUGCAGUGAAAUGUCCACUGAAUAUGUUGAGAUGAACCACAACUGCAUUGGGAAAAUCCGGUUGGGGUCAGUUCACGUCAAGAUGUUCUGCGCGGAUGCGGCAUGGGCAUCAAGGGCCACGUGCUCUAUCUGUGCUUGGAGGCCACUGAGGACCUCUAAAGCGGCGGCGGCUCCAAGUACGGCAGCAGUGUCAUGCACGAGUUUGCUGAACCCGUGGCAGAACAGCAUGUGACGACAUAUGACAUAUCGGCAUUAUGUUGGCAAGUUUAUUUUCAACUUCUGGGCAAAAUCUGCUUGCGUAUGCUUUCCUGAAUAUUAAGGUGCAUGACCCGCAAACAUACAAUACAUCAAGCAAAAAUAGAUCCAUAAAACUGCUUAUCGUUUGAUGUUACUUUGAUGCUUGCUUAUAAUUUUGCUUUGUGACUAACGAGUUUAUGUUAUGU